RNAcentral lists this ribosomal RNA (216 nucleotides) under Glomeromycotina sp. RNAcentral describes it as "partial small subunit ribosomal RNA". The stretch from base 40 to 216 matches the Rfam family "Eukaryotic small subunit ribosomal RNA", at positions 686 to 864 of the family's 1831-position model. Lineage: Eukaryota; Fungi; Glomeromycota. The record is from RNAcentral.
GGGUCAGUAGGUUGGUCGUGCCACCGGUACGUACUGGUCUCACUGAUUCCUCCUUCCUGAAGAACCGUAAUGCCGUUAAUUUGGUGUUGCGGGGAAACAGGUCUGUUACUUUGAAAAAAUUAGAGUGUUUAAAGCAAGCUAACGCUUGAAUACAUUAGCAUGGAAUAAUGAAAUAGGACGAUCGAUCCUAUUUUGUUGGUUUCUAGGAUUGACGUA